Coffea arabica (coffee) is the source of this 1890-nucleotide non-coding RNA. The record is from RefSeq and is a predicted model, not a curated record. Lineage: Eukaryota; Viridiplantae; Streptophyta; Magnoliopsida; Gentianales; Rubiaceae.
CAGGAGAUGUCAACUUAUGACUUGUUUUGUAUCAUGCUUAAUCUGGAUUUAAAAUGUUCAUCCAGUCUAAUAACUGAGCAUAAUUCAGGUGAACCCCUCAUAUUCAUAGAAGUUGCAUUAAUGAAGGAUGUGGCCGAGACGAUUCAGGAAGUUCUAUGGGACGAUCCUCCAAUACCUGAAUGUGAAGCAACCUGUGCACUCUUUUACUCUAUAUCAUCUACCCAGCCUGGCUUAUCCGGAAUCAACCUUGGGAAAUUCCUUAUUAAACGUGUAAUUGAUGUUGUGAAGAAGGAUAUGCCGAUUAUAUCUACCUUUGCUACUCUUAGUCCUAUUCCAGGCUACAUGCAGUGGCUUCUAUCAAAAUUGGCAUCAGCAGAGAUAUCUGGUCCUACCUUUAGAGAGAACUUGCUUAAACAAGAAGAAGAGGGGGCACUUGUAGAUGCAGCAGUAGAAUUCAGUUCCAGCAAAAACGGAAUGGAAGUGAUGAAGUACUUGUUGACAUCAACCAAUUAUGAGUGGACAAAGUCAGCUAAGAUAAUUUCGGUUCUAAGACCUCCAAUGAUGCGACUUUGUGCUCGGUACCUUCUGCAAGAGAAGAAGAGGGGGAAAGCUCUAGAUUCUGUGGCAAACUUCCACUUGCAGAAUGGAGCGAUGAUCGGAAGGCUGAAUUGGAUGGCUGAUCGAUCUGAAAAAGGCCUUACUCAGAGUGGAGGGAUUAUGGUCAACUACAUAUAUAGGGUGGAGAACAUUGAAGAAAAUGCUCAGUCAUAUUACAGCAAAGGGCAUAUCCACGCUACCUCAGAUGUCUCUUGCUUUGUUGAGGAUCAUGAACAAACUAGAGAUUAGGAAGCUGUUGCAGGAGUGGUGUGAAAUUUAAUGUUCUACCCUUGUAGUACAGGCUGAGUGAAAUGUAAGUACAUAUAUACCUAGAUUUUUAUGCCUUGGUGAUUCCCGCAUUAAGUUGGCGCAAAACUUAUCCCCAUCAUUCACUGAGUGUCUGCCCAAGAAUUCCAUCAACUCCUCGUAUGCCUCGGGGUUGUAGCUCUGCUCUGUCAAGUGACUGUUAAAAAACAAGAAAAUGGCAUAGAUAUAUUUUUAUGGAUGUAUGUCUAUACCCUAAUCUGUAGCUUCAUUAGAUACAGUGAGCUUCAAAGUUCUGUACUGAUUUGAUGUAGCCAACCGUCUGAUACUAUACUCAAUAGAACAAUAAAAGUGGAGAUAAUGAUUCUGUGAAAAGAAGAGAACCUGCAACUGAGCAGUGACAAUUCGAACAGCAAUGUAUGUGAAGAAAUUAUGGAGGUGCUUCGCUGCUUUUGCUUCUGGUGAUCCUUCUCCGAACCCUGCACCACUCUUCUUUAAUAUUCACAGGCAGAUCCAUAGGUACACUUGCUAGAAACUUUUACAAGAGGGUGACUACCCACCUGGAACAUACAUCUUUUGACAAUGGAAGCGAGUUGGCUGAGAAGUUCUUUGCUUCCAUGGCCUGAAGGGACAGGCUCUGGUUUCCCUGCAAGCUUGUGUUGGAGAAACUGCGAGCCUUGAGAGGGGGACGGUGGCGAAGGAUUCCAUAAUAUGGCUCAUCUUAACUGUACUGUGUAAUCUGUGGCAACUGCCAGUGAGAAUUGAAGGAAAAGAGCAGAAGUAGAUGUUUUUGUCCAAUGACUAGCAAGCGGCAAGACACCUUGAGAAGCCUUUAGUGAAGAGAUAAUAAUAAUAUCUUUACUUCCAUGUUGAAAUAUCUUCAGGUAUAUGUGGCAAGAAGCCUGAAAUUUUGUCAUGGAUCAUUUGUCCAUCUUUAAGGGUGGAUCCCACCCAUUCUAUUGUCUCUUUUAUACGUAUGUGUAUGCAUCUGGCCCUCGUAUUAUUGAAUAACCAAGUCUGGAAUAUUCC